CUAGCUAAAUGGAAGGUGGGACCAACGUGAUGUUUACAUCCCCAGGUAUCUAACCAGUAGCCACAUUGCAACAUGGAGGACUUCCCAAAAGGCGCUUCUUAUUUUAGUACAACAGAACCCAGGAGAGGCCUGCUGCGAAUACUGGCUUGGAUCCCUCAGUGUGCCUGCAGUGGUGUGACCACGGAAGAGUCCUCAAGGUCUUUUAAAAUAGGACUUUUCCAAUUGAUCUUUUUGGACUUGUCCACUUGGGACUUUUAGCUAUUGUUAAAUAAAUAAUGUAGAACACCC
Oncorhynchus mykiss (rainbow trout) is the source of this 288-nucleotide long non-coding RNA. RefSeq lists it as uncharacterized. The record is from RefSeq and is a predicted model, not a curated record. NCBI's taxonomy places the organism in Eukaryota, Metazoa, Chordata, Actinopteri, Salmoniformes, Salmonidae.